Myotis lucifugus (little brown bat) is the source of this 678-nucleotide RNA transcript. It is a transcript of the gene named NADH dehydrogenase [ubiquinone] iron-sulfur protein 8, mitochondrial pseudogene, with no coding region annotated. NCBI's taxonomy places the organism in Eukaryota, Metazoa, Chordata, Mammalia, Chiroptera, Vespertilionidae. The record is from RefSeq and is a predicted model, not a curated record. The transcript has a single exon.
GUAGGGGAAGGAGAGGCAACGCUUCAAGAUGCACUGCCCGACUACACCCUCAGUGCUUCGGGCCCUGGCCCAGGCUGUUCGUGCAGGGCAUCCCAGUGCCCGCAGCCUCCACAGCAGUGCAGUGGCAGACACCUACAAGUACGUGAACUUGCGAGAGCCCUCGAUGGACAUGAAGUCAGUGACUGACCGGGCAGCUCAAACCCUUCUGUGGACUGAACUCAUCCGAGGACUGAGCAUGACCCUGAGCCAGCCACCAUAAACUACCCCUUUGAGAAGGGCCCGCUGAGCCCACGUUUCCGUGGGGAGUAUGCGCUGCGCCUAUACCCGUCCGGGGAGGAGUGCUGCAUCGCAUGCAAGCUUUGCGAGGCUGUCUGCCCGGGCCCAGGCCAUCACCAUCAAGGCUGAGCCGCGAGCCAAUAGCAGCCGCCGGACCACUCGCUAUGACAUCGACAUGACCAAGUGCAUCUACUGUGGCUUCUGCCAGGAGGCCUGCCCUGUGGAUGCCGUUGUCGAGGGCCCCAACUUUGAGUUCUCCACGGAGACGCACGAGGAGCUGCUGUAUAACAAGGAGAAGCUGCUGAACAAUGGGGACAAGUGGGAGGCCGAGAUCGCUGCCAACAUCCAGGCUGACUACCUCUACUGGUGACACUGCCCAGCUGGCCCAUGGCCCCUGCUGCC